Long non-coding RNA from Planococcus citri (citrus mealybug), 851 nucleotides. RefSeq lists it as uncharacterized. Lineage: Eukaryota; Metazoa; Arthropoda; Insecta; Hemiptera; Pseudococcidae. The transcript has 3 exons. The record is from RefSeq and is a predicted model, not a curated record.
UUGAUGACUCAUAUUAUGGAGCGUUCAAUCGAUGGCCAUUUUGAUUGUUCAUUGUUAUAUUCGUUACUGUUGAUAUAGUUGAUCAUGUUUGCAGAUGUGUCUUGUGUUCUGUUCUCGUAAUGAUUCUAAUUUUUAAUUCGGUCUCGUCAGAAUUGUAAGAUGUUGUGGUCAAUUAAUAUUAGGUAUAUUUAUAAUCUUCUUUUCUUAGUCCGGUGAUCGAAAUACACUCACUUGCUAGGGUUGAACCGGUUGCAUUGAGUUCCAUCAAGAAGUCGAAGAAAGAUCAAUUGAAAACAUUGCUGAACUGAACUCAUCAAUGCCUAAUCUUCGUCAUAAACUGUUGAGAAGGACCCUGCAGCUUCCAUCUAUCAUGGAAAGUAAAAAGGAUCAAUCACCCAUAUUCAUGUGGAAUCAUGCCAGAUUCAUCUCCAUUUUCACACCAACUAGACACACUAUUCAGGUAAUGGGAUUCUGAAUUUUAUUGAUACACAGCAGUUUACUGAGUGGAAUAAAACAAUAAAUGAUCAAAAUAAAGAAACAAAAAAAUAUUAUAAUAGGUACAUAUAGGUAAUAAAGACAGGGUCAUUGUAAAAUACAAACAUAUGUAUAAUAAUUAUAAUCGUCAACGUUUUCAUAAAAUAGCGUAAAUGAAAUUAAAGGGAACAAAGAAGUUCAAGGAUCCUUCCCACAGCAUUUUCCAAAACAACUGUCCUUUGCAUUUUGUAAUGUUACACCUGCUUUCCAAAUCAACGCCGCGAUAACUUUACCAAAUGCUGCUAUACUCUAAAAUGGUAUGCUGAUACAUUUACACCCAGCUAAAGCGAAACAUUUCCCCACAUCUUUGGAGCGGC